GGAGAUGUGCAGAACCAGGCAGACCUCAGAGUUCAGGUGACAAGAGGUGCAGAAUGCAGGAGAGCCAUCUGGAUUCAGACACAGAGAAAUCUAACAUGAGGAGGAUUGUGGUUUCACAUUCCACAUUGUGACUGCCUGCCAGUUGUCUUGGGUUGAGUUAUAACACAGAAGCAGAUGGAAGGAGAUGGGUGGAAGCAGGGAAAGAAACCUUGCCAGCUGCAAGGACAUCCCACAGAACUCUGGGCCACCAUGAAAGGGGACCUGCAGCAUCCACAGUGAGGAGGCAGCAGCCUGGUUCUGUUUCUAUAA
This is a long non-coding RNA of Eptesicus fuscus (big brown bat), 309 nucleotides long. RefSeq lists it as uncharacterized. Lineage: Eukaryota; Metazoa; Chordata; Mammalia; Chiroptera; Vespertilionidae. The record is from RefSeq and is a predicted model, not a curated record. The transcript has 3 exons.